This 708-nucleotide ribosomal RNA is filed under the name uncultured bacterium. Its description in RNAcentral is "bacterial SSU rRNA". It matches the Rfam family "Bacterial small subunit ribosomal RNA", at positions 12 to 714 of the family's 1533-position model. The record is from RNAcentral.
UUUGAUCCUGGCUCAGGAUGAACGCUAGCGGCAGGCUUAACACAUGCAAGUCGAGGGGCAGCGAAUCUAGCUUGCUAGAUGUCGGCGACCGGCGAACGGGUGCGUAACGCGUAUAGAAUCUGCCUUGUACAGGAGGAUAGCCUUUAGAAAUGAAGAUUAAUACUCCAUAAUGUUUAGAGAUGGCAUCAUUUUUAAAUUAAAGAUCUAUUGGUACAAGAUGACUAUGCGUCCUAUUAGCUAGAUGGUAAGGUAACGGCUUACCAUGGCAACGAUAGGUAGGGGGUCUGAGAGGAUUAUCCCCCACACUGGUACUGAGACACGGACCAGACUCUACGGGAGGCAGCAGUGAGGAAUAUUGGUCAAUGGAGGCAACUCUGAACCAGCCAUGCCGCGUGCAGGAAGACUGCCCUAUGGGUUGUAAACUGCUUUUAUACAGGAAGAAACAGAACUACGUGUAGUUCCUUGACGGUACUGUAAGAAUAAGCACCGGCUAACUCCGUGCCAGCAGCCGCGGUAAUACGGAGGGUGCAAGCGUUAUCCGGAAUCAUUGGGUUUAAAGGGUCCGCAGGCGGUCAAUUAAGUCAGAGGUGAAAUCCCAUAGCUUAACUAUGGAACUGCCUUUGAUACUGGUUGACUUGAGUUAUACGGMAGUAGAUAGAAUAAGUAGUGUAGCGGUGAAAUGCAUAGAUAUUACUUAGAMUACCGAUU